CUUAUCCAGCAGCCAUCAUUACAAAACUGAAGUUAAAUACCAGUCUCCCUCGUCCUGGGAAAAGAAAGCAUCGUUUUCAAAAUGUUCUUACUCUCAAAUCCAUACAUGUGCAGUCAUAUUCGUCUUCGUUUCCCAAAAACUUAUCUGUCUGUUUUAAUUUUUCUUUUUCUUAAUUUUUAAACACUUGUCUGGGAGGUUUUUAAAUCUGGUCUUCACUGAGCUGUGUAACUUGGUGUUUGCUUUAAAAUGACCUUAUAUUGCCAUGCCAGUGCCAUAUAUGACUUCCCAUGUUGGUUGUAAAGUAAUGUGAGUUUGAGGAGUUCUAGAUAACAGUGCAAGUCACUGCUUUCAACUGCAGCUGUGCUGCAGAGCCCUCAGUGCAGAGUGGUUUUGGCUGUGCAACACAUUUUCCACAAAAGUUAGUCUUUGUAGUAUCUCAGUUAGUAGGUCUCAUCAGGCAGCAGUAGUUUUAUUUAAGAUAAAGUUUUAUUAAAGCCCUUGAAUUGGAACUCUCUGGCUGAAGGAGCAGGUAAGGUUCCCUUUGCAAUGCCAGUGGGAUGGACUGGCUUUGGGGGGAACAGAGAUGUUGGGAGCUCUCCAAGGGACUUGGGGACUAUUCUCUAACAGGAACAAACUGACACAGCACAAUUUGUCUGUCUAUUGGAGAUGGGCAGGAAUGACUUUCAAGCAUAUAAUCACCUCCUAAAUGUAAUCUGUUUUUCCACCACCAAGAAGAUGGUUUCAGUGCCAGCAAUGCCAAGGUGACUGGAUCCUGUGUGCUGUAUGGUGACAUUCCCCUGAACAGGGAACAGAGCAGCCUGCACCAGAGUAACACCUCUUGCUUUGCCUGGGUGUUCCAUGAUACUUGGCAUUGUUGUUGCACUCUUUGGCCUUUCUAAUUCUUCCUGAGUAUGGAUAUAAGCUGGGAGCAGAGAUGACACUCAGACACUCAGAGCCUGCCUUGAUAGAUCUGGUCAGGACCUAAGGGGCUCCAUAGUGAGGGUUUGUGCCAUAAACACUGUGUGGUGACUUGCUGCCUUACUGCACGCUGCCUAAAGAUCCAGAGUUUGCUUUAGGAAAUACAUAAUGCUGUUCUGCUUUAUACACCUGGAGGUCAAAAGGGAAUGUGUUUUUUCUAGCUAAUCAUCGUCUCUUGCCAGCUAAUUGUAAGUAAAAUAAAAAGAGAAAGCAUGGAGUCUGGCCAGUGCUUACUAAUGUCUGAACCAACAAGUCUGAGGUGGUGUUACUUUUCUGGCUUGACUUUGUUGAACUUCCGUGGGAGUUUGAAGUUUUACUCUGAGAAGCUUAUCUUCACUUUCACUGUGUUGUUGUUCUUUAUGGUU
Non-coding RNA from Sturnus vulgaris (Common starling), 1343 nucleotides. Lineage: Eukaryota; Metazoa; Chordata; Aves; Passeriformes; Sturnidae. The record is from RefSeq and is a predicted model, not a curated record.